This 2195-nucleotide ribosomal RNA is filed under the name Salmonella enterica subsp. enterica serovar Leeuwarden. RNAcentral's name for it is "partial 23S ribosomal RNA". It matches the Rfam family "Bacterial large subunit ribosomal RNA", at positions 711 to 2802 of the family's 2925-position model. The record is from RNAcentral. Lineage: Bacteria; Pseudomonadati; Pseudomonadota; Gammaproteobacteria; Enterobacterales; Enterobacteriaceae.
AGACCCGAAACCCGGUGAUCUAGCCAUGGGCAGGUUGAAGGUUGGGUAACACUAACUGGAGGACCGAACCGACUAAUGUUGAAAAAUUAGCGGAUGACCUGUGGCUGGGGGUGAAAGGCCAAUCAAACCGGGAGAUAGCUGGUUCUCCCCGAAAGCUAUUUAGGUAGCGCCUCGUGAAUUCAUCUCCGGGGGUAGAGCACUGUUUCGGCUAGGGGGCCAUCCCGGCUUACCAACCCGAUGCAAACUGCGAAUACCGGAGAAUGUUAUCACGGGAGACACACGGCGGGUGCUAACGUCCGUCGUGAAGAGGGAAACAACCCAGACCGCCAGCUAAGGUCCCAAAGUCAUGGUUAAGUGGGAAACGAUGUGGGAAGGCCCAGACAGCCAGGAUGUUGGCUUAGAAGCAGCCAUCAUUUAAAGAAAGCGUAAUAGCUCACUGGUCGAGUCGGCCUGCGCGGAAGAUGUAACGGGGCUAAACCAUGCACCGAAGCUGCGGCAGCGAACGUAUCACCCAAGACAACUUUACGGAGUUGACGAUUGACGGAGCGAAGCGACGUCAAAGCGUUCAUUAAAGUCGAGUUGGCUUAGGGAUACGUUCGUUGGGUAGGGGAGCGUUCUGUAAGCCUGUGAAGGUGGCCUGUGAGGGUUGCUGGAGGUAUCAGAAGUGCGAAUGCUGACAUAAGUAACGAUAAAGCGGGUGAAAAGCCCGCUCGCCGGAAGACCAAGGGUUCCUGUCCAACGUUAAUCGGGGCAGGGUGAGUCGACCCCUAAGGCGAGGCCGAAAGGCGUAGUCGAUGGGAAACGGGUUAAUAUUCCCGUACUUGGUGUUACUGCGAAGGGGGGACGGAGAAGGCUAUGUUGGCCGGGCGACGGUUGUCCCGGUUUAAGCGUGUAGGUGUGUGUUCCAGGUAAAUCCGGUUCACUUUAACACUGAGGCGUGAUGACGAGGCACUACGGUGCUGAAGCAACAAAUGCCCUGCUUCCAGGAAAAGCCUCUAAGCAUCAGGUAACAUCAAAUCGUACCCCAAACCGACACAGGUGGUCAGGUAGAGAAUACCAAGGCGCUUGAGAGAACUCGGGUGAAGGAACUAGGCAAAAUGGUGCCGUAACUUCGGGAGAAGGCACGCUGACACGUAGGUGAAGUGAUUUACUCAUGGAGCUGAAGUCAGUCGAAGAUACCAGCUGGCUGCAACUGUUUAUUAAAAACACAGCACUGUGCAAACACGAAAGUGGACGUAUACGGUGUGACGCCUGCCCGGUGCCGGAAGGUUAAUUGAUGGGGUCAGCGCAAGCGAAGCUCCUGAUCGAAGCCCCGGUAAACGGCGGCCGUAACUAUAACGGUCCUAAGGUAGCGAAAUUCCUUGUCGGGUAAGUUCCGACCUGCACGAAUGGCGUAAUGAUGGCCAGGCUGUCUCCACCCGAGACUCAGUGAAAUUGAACUCGCUGUGAAGAUGCAGUGUACCCGCGGCAAGACGGAAAGACCCCGUGAACCUUUACUAUAGCUUGACACUGAACAUUGAGCCUUGAUGUGUAGGAUAGGUGGGAGGCUUUGAAGUGUGGACGCCAGUCUGCAUGGAGCCGACCUUGAAAUACCACCCUUUAAUGUUUGAUGUUCUAACGUGGACCCGUAAUCCGGGUUGCGGACAGUGUCUGGUGGGUAGUUUGACUGGGGCGGUCUCCUCCUAAAGAGUAACGGAGGAGCACGAAGGUUGGCUAAUCCUGGUCGGACAUCAGGAGGUUAGUGCAAUGGCAUAAGCCAGCUUGACUGCGAGCGUGACGGCGCGAGCAGGUGCGAAAGCAGGUCAUAGUGAUCCGGUGGUUCUGAAUGGAAGGGCCAUCGCUCAACGGAUAAAAGGUACUCCGGGGAUAACAGGCUGAUACCGCCCAAGAGUUCAUAUCGACGGCGGUGUUUGGCACCUCGAUGUCGGCUCAUCACAUCCUGGGGCUGAAGUAGGUCCCAAGGGUAUGGCUGUUCGCCAUUUAAAGUGGUACGCGAGCUGGGUUUAGAACGUCGUGAGACAGUUCGGUCCCUAUCUGCCGUGGGCGCUGGAGAACUGAGGGGGGCUGCUCCUAGUACGAGAGGACCGGAGUGGACGCAUCACUGGUGUUCGGGUUGUCAUGCCAAUGGCACUGCCCGGUAGCUAAAUGCGGAAGAGAUAAGUGCUGAAAGCAUCUAAGCACGAAACUUGCCCCGA